RNAcentral lists this ribosomal RNA (253 nucleotides) under uncultured bacterium. RNAcentral describes it as "partial 16S ribosomal RNA". It matches the Rfam family "Bacterial small subunit ribosomal RNA", at positions 524 to 776 of the family's 1533-position model. The record is from RNAcentral.
UACAGAGGUGCCGAGCGUUAGGCGGAAUCACUGGGCUUAAAGCGUGUGUAGGCGGACCCGUCAGUGUCUUGUGAAAUCCCACGGCUCAACCGUGGAACGGCUGGGCAUACUGCAGGUCUUGAGAGACCUAGGGGCGAGCGGAACAGGCGGUGGAGCGGUGAAAUGCGUAGAUAUCGGGUGGAACACCGACGGUGAAAACAGCUCGCUGGGGGUCUUCUGACGCUGAGGCACGAAAGCCAGGGGAGCGAACGGG